AAGGCCCUUUGUCUUGGGGAAAGCGGCAAUUGAUCAGUUCUCUUAGAGCCAGAUAGCUGGGCUUUUCAGGGCAGAUGCUAAUGCUGCCCUUUAGAAAGCUCAGGAAUGCAGGUGACCUUCUUGGGUAACAACCUCCUUCCUCGCGGCUUGUCUGUCAUGUUGUCUGCACAGGGAUAUGCUUGGAGAACGUAGGGCCUCAGGGUCCUACGGAAUAAAAUCAACGAUUUGUUGAAGCUCCCUAUGAAGCCAGAACUUACAGAGGAGCCAUUGGGAUGUGACGGGGGUAGAAAGAGAAGAGUCAACGGCGUGUGUGUGGUCUCCAGUUUAGAAGACAGAGAGAGUGCUGCUCCCAGGACUGGAAUGGGGAUGCUGAUCGGCACCAUCUUGUUCACUGUCGAAUCCCCCAAGUUCAGCACAGUGACGAGCGCCUAACAGAUGCUUUAGACAUAUUUUUGGAUGAUUCAAUAAAUAAAUGAACAAAACUGAAGUCAGCAUGUGCUCUCAGAGAAAGUGAAGGAAUAAAUCAGGGGUCAAAAACUCUUUCCCUGGGGCCAGCCCGGUGGCGCAGCGGUUAAGUUCGCACAUUCCACUUCGGUGGCCGGGUGCCGGUGUUCACCGGUUCGGAUCCCGGAGGCAGACAUGGCACCGCUUGGCAAGCCAUGCUGUGGAAUUAAGUGCCUACAGAGUCAUUGGAAGUGAUGGAGGAACAGAUAAUCUCUAGGCUGAGAAGAGAUUCCAAAAAACCCCACAGAACUGGUCCACCGAGGGAAAGGAAUUGCUACUUCUGCUAUAAUCAGGAAGCUACAGGGGUAGGAGGCAACUGCUGGCUCCAUGUCUACACCACUGGCGGUUGGGGGUCAAAAAGCUGCCCCUAGAACAGCUGGCUCCAGAGCCGCGUUGUACCUGCUGGAAUCCACCACAGCAAAACAGCUGCUGCCACUCUCCCCUGCGAGUCCCAGUAAGUGUGUCCCAUGGUGACUGAGUCCCUCCUGGAGCCACACCUGCAGCGAGUUUGGGAAAUGCAGACCCUAGCUUUCCAGCCUCUGCCGUGGAGGAAGUUAUCCCAGAAGGAGGUUGGAACAGAAGCUGAGUGAGCCAACCGACGCUCUCCACUACAGGUGCCAAGCAGAUGCAUGUGCUGCACCUGGAACCUCAAGCACCAGGCAUCUUCGUGAACACCCCCUUCCGACCCAAGCGCACACACUGAGGAAAGGCCGUGCGAGGGCCCUGUGAGAAGGUGGCCUUCUGGAAACCGGGAAUAGAGUCCUCAUGGAACCAACACUGCCAGGACCUUCAUCGUGGACGUCCAGCCCCCAGAACUGACUCCCGAGAGCAGCAUCGUGAGCCUGGCUGAGGGGAGACCCAAGGACGGCCGGGACCCAGCCUCCACGCCAGGCCUACGCUGCAGAGCCCACAUCCCCGACAGCUCUGCAGGCAGACAAGUGAAGGCACUGGUCGUCCCCACCGGGGACAAGCCCCCCGUGACAGCGCCAUGUCCAGUGGGCAGGGGCUGCCUUCUCCGGUUGCUCAGGAGUGAGCAGUUCCGCUGCCCACUCUCCCCUCCCUCCACCCGCGCAUCAUUCUUGAGCUGCUGCCAUAGGAACUUGCCAGGCAGAGGGUUGGUGAAGCCUUCCCACCACUGCCUGGAUGGGCUGCAGCAGUCCCCCCGCCCGCCACCUGCUCCCCGGCACAGGCUGCACGUUAGAAUCAUGAAAUCGCUAUGUCGAAGAGAGAUCUGCACCCAGUGUUCACCGCAGCACUAUUCACAACAGCCAAGACGUGGGAACGACCUGGGUGUCCAUCGACAGAUGAAUGGAUAAAGAAAACGUGGGUCAAGGUUCUGCAGACUUCUCAACAGAUCUCUGAAUCCGCCUGGUCCAGGUCCCCCGCCCAGGGAGCCAUACUCAGAACAAGAGCAGCUGGGAGUCAAAGCACAUUUGGUUCACGUCCAAAGUAGCAUCCGACAGCCCUCCAGGAGGGGGCUCCCUGGGAGAAACCAGGUUGGCCAGGAGGCUCCAGCUAUCUGAGCUCCUCCCCCUGAAACUGAACUGAACUGAAGGUGUCUGGGGCUGUAGGGCAGCCUAGAAGCAGUGAGACCACCAGCGGCAGGCGUGGGGAGGGCAGACCCCACCUCUGUGCGCUUGCCACAUAGGUACAGACAGCGCCUGGGGGCUUCCUUCCAAGGUGGUGUGACUGCCCAUUAGCAAAAUGCGGCCAAGCGAAUGCCAAGUUCUGAUCAGUCAGGUCAGCAACUCCCCUCCCCCAGAAUGAGGAACACCCUCCUCCCAACAUCCCCUGGCUAAACCACCGUUCCCGCCUUCCGUGGGUUUCCAUGCUCUGCCCCCUCCCACUUGCUGUCCUGGCUGCUUCAGUUCAUCAACAUCCCCCCGAGAGUGUGGAGCCCAGAAUGGGUACCUUGUUCUCCCUUGUUUUGCUUGAAUGCAGGAAAUAAAUCUCCGUUUCAGUAACUGGACCGUCAAAGACUAUAAUCUGUGUCCUGAACAAGACUCAAGGG
Molecule: long non-coding RNA, 2515 nt
Filed under: Equus caballus (horse)
Lineage: Eukaryota; Metazoa; Chordata; Mammalia; Perissodactyla; Equidae
Description: lncRNA (ENSECAG00000028012.3)
Source: RNAcentral